UUAAAUUGAAGAGUUUGAUCAUGGCUCAGAUUGAACGCUGGCGGCAGGCCUAACACAUGCAAGUCGAACGGUAACAGGAAGCAGCUUGCUGCUUUGCUGACGAGUGGCGGACGGGUGAGUAAUGUCUGGGAAACUGCCUGAUGGAGGGGGAUAACUACUGGAAACGGUAGCUAAUACCGCAUAACGUCGCAAGACCAAAGAGGGGGACCUUCGGGCCUCUUGCCAUCGGAUGUGCCCAGAUGGGAUUAGCUAGUAGGUGGGGUAACGGCUCACCUAGGCGACGAUCCCUAGCUGGUCUGAGAGGAUGGCCAGCCACACUGGAACUGAGACACGGUCCAGACUCCUACGGGAGGCAGCAGUGGGGAAUAUUGCACAAUGGGCGCAAGCCUGAUGCAGCCAUGCCGCGUGUAUGAAGAAGGCCUUCGGGUUGUAAAGUACUUUCAGCGGGGAGGAAGGGAGUAAAGUUAAUACCUUUGCUCAUUGACGUUACCCGCAGAAGAAGCACCGGCUAACUCCGUGCCAGCAGCCGCGGUAAUACGGAGGGUGCAAGCGUUAAUCGGAAUUACUGGGCGUAAAGCGCACGCAGGCGGUUUGUUAAGUC
RNAcentral lists this ribosomal RNA (601 nucleotides) under Escherichia sp. E1130. Its description in RNAcentral is "bacterial SSU rRNA". It matches the Rfam family "Bacterial small subunit ribosomal RNA", at positions 1 to 589 of the family's 1533-position model. The record is from RNAcentral. Lineage: Bacteria; Pseudomonadati; Pseudomonadota; Gammaproteobacteria; Enterobacterales; Enterobacteriaceae.